UUCUCGCACUUGCCUCCGCCGCGCUGCCAACAUGGCGCUUUCCCAGGGUCUGCUCUCUGCUCCAGUUUCACGUCUUGCUCUCCCUCCAGGGAUCUGAGCCACCUGACAAGACGGAUGAGGAACCGAGUAUCCACUGAAUUACCACGCUUGUGAUCCUAGCACCUGGAGGCUAAAGCAGGACAUCCCAAGUUCACAUCCAGGUGCCAGGUUCGGUUCCAGGAGCCAAGAACACGAGGUCCCUGAAUACACACACUCAUGUGCGGGCAAAGAGGAAAAGGAACAAGAAGCCAAGAGUCAAGACGACUUUAGAGUUGCAAAUGCUAAGAAGAUCCGGUUUGGGGUACAGGGGACAUUUGUUUCUAUUAAUGUUGGUGUGUGAAGGCUUCUCACAGGGCAUUCAGCAAAGAUUUAGGAAAGGAGAAACUCAGGCAGAGCUCGAAGCAUGGACAAAGGUAGUAACAAGCCGGACGUGUUUGACCAGCAGAGAAUGUGUGUGGCUAAGGAGGAGCCUGCCAAGCCAAUAGUGAUUGGAAAUGAGACAAAAGGAGAUGCACUGAGCCCAACACGCAGGGUGUCCUGACUUUGCAAACUUGAAAUUAUACGAGAAACACUGGCUUGCCACAGGUGACUCUGACAGCGUAAAGUGAAAAUCGAAGCGAUGGGGGGGGUCAUCUGCAGCCCCCUGGAGGGGGACGGGCAGUGACAUCUUGGUGCCUGACCUUUUAAAUUCUUUACUGCCUAUCCGAGUAUAUGAAUAAAUAAAUGUGUGUUUACAA
This 776-nucleotide small RNA is filed under the name Rattus norvegicus (Norway rat). Its description in RNAcentral is "uncharacterized LOC102551773". Lineage: Eukaryota; Metazoa; Chordata; Mammalia; Rodentia; Muridae. The record is from RNAcentral.